GAUGAACGCUAGCGGCAGGCUUAACACAUGCAAGUCGAGGGGCAGCAUGAGACGGAGAUUCGUCGAAGUCUUGAUGGCGACCGGCGCAAGGGUGCGUAACGCGUGAGCAACUUGCCCGUUUCAGGGGGAUAACCGGCGGAAACGCCGACUAAUACCCCAUAGCAUCAACAUGAGGCAUCUCAAGUUGAUUAAAGAAUUUCGGAAACGGAUAGGCUCGCGUGACAUUAGCUAGAUGGUAGGGUAACGGCCUACCAUGGCGACGAUGUCUAGGGGUUCUGAGAGGAAGGUCCCCCANACUGGAACUGAGACACGGUCCAGACUCCUACGGGAGGCAGCAGU
This 339-nucleotide ribosomal RNA is filed under the name uncultured bacterium. RNAcentral describes it as "bacterial SSU rRNA". It matches the Rfam family "Bacterial small subunit ribosomal RNA", at positions 28 to 355 of the family's 1533-position model. The record is from RNAcentral.